UACGAGGGGGGCAAGCGUUGUUCGGAAUUAUUGGGCGUAAAGAGCUCGUAGGCGGUCUGUCGCGUCGGCUGUGAAAACCCGGAGCUCAACUCCGGGCCUGCAGUCGAUACGGGCAGACUGGAGUUCGGCAGGGGAGACUGGAAUUCCUGUGUAGCGGUGAAAUGCGCAGAUAUCAGGAGGAACACCGGUGGCGAAGGCGGGUCUCUGGGCCGAUACUGACGCUGAGGAGCGAAAGCGUGGGGAGCGAACAGG
This 252-nucleotide ribosomal RNA is filed under the name uncultured bacterium. Its description in RNAcentral is "partial 16S ribosomal RNA". It matches the Rfam family "Bacterial small subunit ribosomal RNA", at positions 524 to 776 of the family's 1533-position model. The record is from RNAcentral.